Long non-coding RNA from Lepisosteus oculatus (spotted gar), 391 nucleotides. RefSeq lists it as uncharacterized. Lineage: Eukaryota; Metazoa; Chordata; Actinopteri; Semionotiformes; Lepisosteidae. The record is from RefSeq and is a predicted model, not a curated record.
UUCUGAUAGGGUGGGUUUUGUUGUUUGGUUUUACGUUAUUUGUAGUUUUUUUAUUGAUAUUCUGCUAACCUCUUUAACUAAAACGACACAUAUUAAACCAAACUACUGAUUUGUAAGAAUGUGAAUAUCAUGCGGUCACAUGAUAUUCACAUAAAUAACUGGUAAUUUAAGUAGUUUCCAUUGUGGGCAUCACAUUGCAACUCAAUUUAUGUCAAAAUAUGGAGACUAAUAAACGCAUAUUUUAAAAACAGCAUCUUAAGCAUAGACUCUGGAUCCCCCGCAACACUGAGUUGGAUGAAGCUGUGAGAAAAUGAACGGCUGGAUGUUGCUGCCAACAGGUUCAAUAGAAAGUGGGAAGAACUAACAAAAAUAAAGCAAUAACUCAAGUCAG